GAUGAAGAACGUAGCGAAAUGCGAUAAGUAAUGUGAAUUGCAGAAUUCAGUGAAUCAUCGAAUCUUUGAACGCACAUUGCGCCCCCUGGUAUUCCGGGGGGCAUGCCUGUCCGAGCGUCAUUACAACCCUCAAGCUCAGCUUGGUGUUGGGCCCCGCCGCCCCGGUGGGCCCUAAAGUCAGUGGCGGUGCCGUCCGGCUCCGAGCGUAGUAAUUCUUCUCGCUCUGGAGGUCCGGUCGUGUGCUCGCCAGCAACCCCCAAUUUUUUUCAGGUUGACCUCGGAUCAGGUAGGGAUACCCGCUGAACUUAAGCAUAUCAAUAAGCGGAGGA
RNAcentral lists this unclassified non-coding RNA (329 nucleotides) under soil metagenome. RNAcentral's name for it is "partial contains 5.8S ribosomal RNA, internal transcribed spacer 2, and large subunit ribosomal RNA". The stretch from base 1 to 120 matches the Rfam family "5.8S ribosomal RNA", at positions 35 to 154 of the family's 154-position model. The record is from RNAcentral.